CUCCGGGUAGCUAAAUGGUAAAGCGACAAACUUCACUUUGUUAUUUGCGGGUUCGAUUCCCGCCCCAAAUCA
Molecule: transfer RNA, 72 nt
Filed under: Vibrio nigripulchritudo AM115
Lineage: Bacteria; Pseudomonadati; Pseudomonadota; Gammaproteobacteria; Vibrionales; Vibrionaceae
Also listed under: 3 other names
Rfam family: tRNA (bases 5-66)
About the family: Transfer RNA (tRNA) molecules are approximately 80 nucleotides in length. Their secondary structure includes four short double-helical elements and three loops (D, anti-codon, and T loops).
Source: RNAcentral